Molecule: unclassified non-coding RNA, 391 nt
Filed under: soil metagenome
Description: partial contains 5.8S ribosomal RNA, internal transcribed spacer 2, and large subunit ribosomal RNA
Rfam family: 5.8S ribosomal RNA (bases 1-122)
Source: RNAcentral
GAUGAAGAACGUAGCGAAAUGCGAUACUUGGUGUGAAUUGCAGAAUCCCGUGAACCAUCGAGUCUUUGAACGCAAGUUGCGCCCGAAGCCAUUAGGCCGAGGGCACGCCUGCCUGGGCGUCACACGUCGUUGCCCCCCCAUCUACUCCUUCGGGAUUGCGGGGGGCGGUUGAUGGCCUCCCGUGCGCCUCGCCGCGCGGUUGGCAUAAAUGCCAAGUCCUCGGCGACGCACGCCACGACAAUCGGUGGUUGCGAAACCUCGGUUGCCCGUCGUGUGCGGUCGUCGCGCAUCGAGGGCUCGAAAAAAUUGCCGGGUUCCGGCUCGGCUUUCAACGCGACCCCAGGUCAGGCGGGGUUACCCGCUGAAUUUAAGCAUAUCAAUAAGCGGAGGA